ACCCGUCUUGAAACACGGACCAAGGAGUUCAGCAUAUGCGCGAGUCAUUGGGUGGUAAACCUAAAGGCGUAAUGAAAGUAAAGAUCGCUUUAAGCGGUUGAUAUGGGAUCCGCGUUGUUUCAUAGCUUCGCGGCGCACCAUAGCCCCGUCCCCGUUGCUUGCAAUAGGGCGGAGGUAGAGCGCAUACGCUGAGACCGGAAAGAUGGUGAACUAUGCCCGAGCAGGAUGAAGCCAGAGGAAACUCUGGUGGAAGUCCGAAGCGGUCUGACGUGC
Molecule: ribosomal RNA, 273 nt
Filed under: Aoruroides queenslandensis
Lineage: Eukaryota; Metazoa; Nematoda; Chromadorea; Rhabditida; Thelastomatidae
Description: partial 28S ribosomal RNA
Rfam family: Eukaryotic large subunit ribosomal RNA
Source: RNAcentral